Molecule: long non-coding RNA, 1154 nt
Filed under: Monodelphis domestica (gray short-tailed opossum)
Lineage: Eukaryota; Metazoa; Chordata; Mammalia; Didelphimorphia; Didelphidae
Description: lncRNA (ENSMODG00000039508.1)
Source: RNAcentral
AUGCUGAUUCUUAAUCCCAUGAGGUCUUUAAAAAUAGGAUUGGGUACACAUCAGUUUUGGAUAGCAUUGUCUGAACAUAAGGACAUGAGUUUUGUGACCUACCCUUCAGGACCAAUUCCAGUUCCACCAAUUCAGAUGUUUUCCAUCCUUAAAGAUACGUACCUUUCAGGCUAACAGUCAGGUUAGUCUCAUUUGUUAAGUCAUUAGACAAAGAUUAAUGUAAAGACUAUAAGUAUUCUUCAAUAAUUUUGUGAAGUAAGGGAUUGAAUAGUACAUGCUUUUCCCUUUUGGAAUCUAUAUGAAGUUAUUUGAAUUUAUGAAAUAUAUUAAUGAAGUUAAAUAUGCUAUAAAUAUUAUGAUUAUUAUUGCUGAAAAGAAAGAAAAAGAAAGGAUUGGUGCUUCAGUGCCAAAGAAGCAAUUUUAGCAAUUCUGAUAGCUUAUACAUUGAAAUAUGAACAGUAUAUAUCUUAUCAUGCAUACAUCACCUUGUACUAUAUUUAACAUAACACUUAGAAUAAUAACUCUGUAUGUAAGAUAUGUUAUUAGGCAAUCUUCAGUAUUUUUCAAGUGUAAUAUUCCUUAUCAAAUCUCAGGGAACUUUUUCCCUCUGUAUUUUUAGCAUAUUUGCAAAAAGGGUCUGAGGUAUAAGUAUAAAAUUGUACAUGUUUUUUCUAACACUUGCACAAAAUUGUUAAGCAGAAAAUGGCAUGCCAUCUGGCAGCUGUUUCUACAGUCCCCUUCAUGUUGGGGGUUUGGAUCAGGGGAAAUUACAAUACUUCAUAGUUCCUGCUCUUGUACAUUCUUCAUUUUUGUUUUCAAGGAUAUUUCUCACAUCUAGCUAAUUCCUACUUUUCUAUUUUUAUACUGGAACCUAAACAUUUACCAUUUUGUGCUUGAGUAUUCAAAAUAACGAGAAUUUUCUAAAGGCUCCCAAUCAUCCAAGAAAGAAAUAAUAGAAGAUAAGGGGACCAUGAAGAAGAACAAUACCAAAAAGCAGCAACAAUCAACUACCAACUACAACCAACAAUAACUAACCUCAUAACCUAAUAUGUAUAUAGUACCUACUAUGUUCAGGCAGUGGCUAAGUAUUUUAUUAAUAUCAUCUCAUUUUAUUCUCAAAUAAAGGUAGGGAGGUAGGUACUAUUAUUGUCCCC